GACGAACGCUGGCGGCGUGCUUAACACAUGCAAGUCGAACGGAAAGGCCCUGCUUUUGUGGGGUGCUCGAGUGGCGAACGGGUGAGUAACACGUGAGUAACCUGCCCUUGACUUUGGGAUAACUUCAGGAAACUGGGGCUAAUACCGGAUAGGAGCUCCUGCUGCAUGGUGGGGGUUGGAAAGUUUCGGCGGUUGGGGAUGGACUGGCGGCUUAUCAGCUUGUUGGUGGGGUAGUGGCUUACCAAGGCUUUGACGGGUAGCCGGCCUGAGAGGGUGACCGGCCACAUUGGGACUGAGAUACGGCCCAGACUCCUACGGGAGGCAGCAGUGGGGAAUAUUGCACAAUGGGCGGAAGCCUGAUGAAGCAACGCCGCGUGCGGGAUGACGGCCUUCGGGUUGUAAACCGCUUUCGCCUGUGACGAAGCGUGAGUGACGGUAAUGGGUAAAGAAGCACCGGCUAACUACGUG
Molecule: ribosomal RNA, 468 nt
Filed under: uncultured bacterium
Lineage: Bacteria
Description: partial 16S ribosomal RNA
Rfam family: Bacterial small subunit ribosomal RNA
Source: RNAcentral